GAGAGAUGGCUGAGUGGUCGAAGGCGGCGGUCUCGAAAACCGUUAACGGGGUUACCCGUUCAGGGGUUCGAAUCCCCUUCUCUCC
RNAcentral lists this transfer RNA (85 nucleotides) under human gut metagenome. It matches the Rfam family "tRNA". From Rfam's summary of the family: Transfer RNA (tRNA) molecules are approximately 80 nucleotides in length. Their secondary structure includes four short double-helical elements and three loops (D, anti-codon, and T loops). Further hydrogen bonds mediate the characteristic L-shaped molecular structure. tRNAs have two regions of fundamental functional importance: the anti-codon, which is responsible for specific mRNA codon recognition, and the 3' end, to which the tRNAs corresponding amino acid is attached (by aminoacyl-tRNA synthetases). tRNAs cope with the degeneracy of the genetic code in two manners: having more than one tRNA (with a specific anti-codon) for a particular amino acid; and 'wobble' base-pairing, i.e. permitting non-standard base-pairing at the 3rd anti-codon position. The record is from RNAcentral. RNAcentral also lists the same sequence under 1 other name.